RNAcentral lists this transfer RNA (103 nucleotides) under Desulfurococcaceae archaeon AG1. It matches the Rfam family "tRNA". Rfam says of the family: Transfer RNA (tRNA) molecules are approximately 80 nucleotides in length. Their secondary structure includes four short double-helical elements and three loops (D, anti-codon, and T loops). The record is from Rfam by way of RNAcentral. Lineage: Archaea; Thermoproteati; Thermoproteota; Thermoprotei; Desulfurococcales; Desulfurococcaceae.
GCCGCCGUAGCUCAGCUGGUAGAGCGCCGGCCUUGUACGGUGUUAUAGAACCGAGGUCGCCCAGGAUAGCCGGCGGUCGCGGGUUCGAAUCCCGCCGGCGGCU